CUACGGGCGCUGCAGUAAGGAAUAUUGCGCAAUGGAGGCAACUCUGACGCAGCCAUGCCGCGUGCAGGAAGAAGGCCUUAUGGGUCGUAAACUGCUUUUAUUUAGGAAUAAACCCCCGAACGUGUUCGGGGCUGAAGGUACUAAACGAAUAAGCACCGGCUAACUCCGUGCCAGCAGCCGCGGUAAUACGGAGGGUGCAAGCGUUAUCCGGAUUUAUUGGGUUUAAAGGGUGCGCAGGCGGGCUAUUAAGUCAGUGGUGAAAUCCCGGGGCUCAACUCCGGAACUGCCAUUGAUACUGAUAGUCUUGAGUUUGGUUGAAGUGGGCGGAAUGUAGCAUGUAGCGGUGAAAUGUAUAGAUAUGCUACAGAACACCAAUCGCGAAGGCAGCUCACUAAGCCAAAACUGACGCUCAUGCACGAAAGCGUGGGGAUCAAACAGGAUUAGAUACCCCGGUAGUC
Molecule: ribosomal RNA, 458 nt
Filed under: uncultured bacterium
Lineage: Bacteria
Description: partial 16S ribosomal RNA
Rfam family: Bacterial small subunit ribosomal RNA
Source: RNAcentral